This is a long non-coding RNA of Bufo bufo (common toad), 121 nucleotides long. RefSeq lists it as uncharacterized. The record is from RefSeq and is a predicted model, not a curated record. Lineage: Eukaryota; Metazoa; Chordata; Amphibia; Anura; Bufonidae. The transcript is spliced from 4 exons.
CGGGGAGAACAUACAAACUCCAUGCAGAUGUUGUCCUUGGUCGAAUUCAGACCUACGACCCCAGCACUGCAAGGCACCAUUGCUAACAACUGAGCCACCGCACUGUCAUCUAGAAUGGCUA